UAGGUGAGAUAUCUACUUUUGCUUAAUUGAAAGUAGAUACUUUGAAUAGAGAGUUCUUAGUGGGCCGUUUCUGGUAAGCAGAACUGGCGAUGCGGGAUGAACCGAACGUUUGGUUAUGGUGCCGGAAUUCACGCUCAUUUAGAUACCAUAAAGGGUGUUGAUUCAUUUUGACAGCAGGACGGUGGCCAUGGAAGUAGGAACCCGCUAAGGAGUGUGUAACAACUCACCUGCCGAAUGAAUCAGCCCCGAAAAUGGAUGGCGCUAAAGCGUGAUACCAAUACCAAACCAUUGGGAUAAAGAAGUAUAUUCCAAUGUGUAGGAGGGCGUGUAGGUUGUAGUGAAGUCUCUGGGUGUGAACCUGGAUGAAACAGCCUAUAGUGCAGAUCUUGGUGGUAGUAGCAAGUAUUCAAAUGAGAACUUUGAAGACUGAAGUGGAGAAAGGUUCCAUGUGAACAGCAUUUGGACAUGGGUUAGUCGGUCCUAAGGGAUAGGGUAACUCCGUCUUAAAGGUGUAGGAUUUUAAA
RNAcentral lists this ribosomal RNA (524 nucleotides) under uncultured eukaryote. RNAcentral describes it as "eukaryotic LSU rRNA". It matches the Rfam family "Eukaryotic large subunit ribosomal RNA", at positions 1070 to 1589 of the family's 3401-position model. The record is from RNAcentral.